UACGUAGGGUGCAAGCGUUGUCCAGAAUUAUUGGGCGUAAAGAGCUCGUAGGCGGUCUGUCGCGUCGGCUGUGAAAACUCGGGGCUCAACUCCGAGCUUGCAGUCGAUACGGGCAGGCUAGAGUUCGGCAGGGGAGACUGGAAUUCCUGGUGUAGCGGUGAAAUGCGCAGAUAUCAGGAGGAACACCGGUGGCGAAGGCGGGUCUCUGGGCUGAUACUGACGCUGAGGAGCGAAAGCGUGGGGAGCGAACAGG
RNAcentral lists this ribosomal RNA (253 nucleotides) under uncultured bacterium. RNAcentral's name for it is "partial 16S ribosomal RNA". It matches the Rfam family "Bacterial small subunit ribosomal RNA", at positions 524 to 776 of the family's 1533-position model. The record is from RNAcentral.